This 1415-nucleotide unclassified non-coding RNA is filed under the name Hevea brasiliensis (rubber tree). Lineage: Eukaryota; Viridiplantae; Streptophyta; Magnoliopsida; Malpighiales; Euphorbiaceae. The record is from RNAcentral.
ACUACAUCAUGGCAUUGGUUUUAAUUAUUUCCACUUACUUUGCUUGGAUACAAGACAUCUUCAUCCAGCCAAGGAAACAACAGACUGAUAUUAAACCUAAUUUACAGCUGAUUUUUUCAAAGUACUAAUUUCUUGCCAAAACAUGGAACAAAAUAUGGGCAUGUGCUUCCAUCCAGUCAAGAAGUGGCGCUAGAAACCAUUUUUGUUAGACAAAUCACUGAAUUGGCACUGCAAUUUAUAUAUCAUUUAAAGCUCUAUGUGUGCGUGUGCGUAGAGCUCAGAAGCAUCAAGGUAGUAAACAUAUUAAGUAAUACAAUAAAGAUCUCUAAAAAGAAAAAAAGAAUAAAGAGAUGAAUGGUAACAAUGGGAACAGGGAAAAUGGUAUUUUGAUGCAAGUAGGGUGCUUAGACUUGUGCUUCUUGUUAGGUUUGAGCUGUGAUCUGACUUCCAAACAAUUCAAAUAGCAAAAGAAGGGAGGAGCACAGUGUAAAGCAAGUUUAAAAUCAGUGGUUGAGCAAACAAUUAAUAUUUCAUGCACGCUGUCUAAACAACGUCACUUUGCUGGCAUGUGAAAUUCAAUUGCUAGCUAGCAUAUGUUAAAAAGCUUGUUUAGAAUUAGUUUUAGUCUUUUUUGAUUAACUGCAUUGUGGUUUUCUUGGUGAUGGUGGCUUUUACUGCUAAAUAAUUGCAGUUGAAACUAAUCAUAUAAAAGAAACAUAAAAGAAAAAUAAGAAGCCAAAGAAAAGGUCUGCCUUUUUCUAAGGUAUUACACCAUUCCCUUUUAAAGAAUACUUGAUCAUAUAUAAACUGGCCAUUUUUUGUUCACUCAACUUAACUCAUAUUCUCUUACCCUGAAAUCUGUUAUUACUUUUGAAUUGGACAGAUCCCUCGUUUUAGUGUACGUCAUUACUUUUUACAGAAAUUCGAAUUUCCAUAUUGGCAUGUAUGUGCUCCCGGAUUGCCCUGUUCCAUUUUCUUCAGCCUUCGCAUUCAGUGAAAAUAGCAAGCUAUUGGUGCCUAUUCCUACUUAUUUGGUUCCUUUUUUUCCAGUAUAUAAUUUCUUUCUUACUGUUUGUUUUCUGUUACAGGAUUAUGAGUAUGCAAGUUACAAUCCUGUUGCAUAUGACAUUGCAAAUCACUUCUGUGAAAUGGUAGCAAAUUAUCAUUCUGAGACACCACAUAUUUUGGACUAUAGCAAAUACCCAGGUUUGGAGGAGCGUCGCAGAUUUGUAUAUGCAUAUCUAAGCGCAUCAGGCAAUAAACCGAGUGAAGACGAAGUGGAACGGCUAGUGGAUGAUGCAGAAAACUACACUCUUGCAAACCAUAUCUUUUGGGGCUUAUGGGGAAUAAUCUCAGGUUAUGUGAACAGUCUUGAUUUUGACUACUUGGAGUAUGCAAGGCAGAGGUUUGAGCAG